UUCUAGGUUGUCUUAGAGGAUCCAGUUAGACACAGAUCUGGCGAUUUGUGAAAGCGAGGAUUUCUUCUAGUUUUCUUACUGCUAUUGCAUGGGGUUUUUAAGUUUGUUUUUAUUUGUUCAGAUUCACUGGCUCAACUUUCUCCUUCCAUAAGGACACGGGAGCCCCAGGUCUCACUGAGUGUCUUUGUGUAGAUGUGAGAGUUGGAGGGCUUCUGGCUGGAAAUCUUCUAAGGUGACAAGAAGCUGAUAAGUUAAAAUGACCCAGGACUGUGAUGAAUGAAACAGCGGAUACUGUGAAUCUAACAGACAACCCUCUGUCCCAGGCAUCACAUGCUGUAUGGAAGAUGGAAAAAGAACUUGUUGUAAAAAAGUCAAUAAAAAUGGUUAGAUUUGGAGACACA
This is a long non-coding RNA of Cavia porcellus (domestic guinea pig), 401 nucleotides long. RefSeq lists it as uncharacterized. NCBI's taxonomy places the organism in Eukaryota, Metazoa, Chordata, Mammalia, Rodentia, Caviidae. The transcript has 2 exons. The record is from RefSeq and is a predicted model, not a curated record.